UACGUAGGGGGCGAGCGUUGUCCGGAAUCAUUGGGCGUAAAGCGCGUGUAGGCGGCCCGGUAAGUCCGCUGUGAAAGUCCAGGGCUCAACCCUGGGAUGCCGGUGGAUACUGUCGGGCUCGAGUCCGGAAGAGGCGAGUGGAAUCCUGGUGUAGCGGUGAAAUGCGCAGAUAUCAGGAGGAACACCGAUUGCGAAGGCAGCUCGCUGGAACGUUACUGACGCUGAGACGCGAAAGCGUGGGGAGCAAACAGG
This 252-nucleotide ribosomal RNA is filed under the name uncultured bacterium. RNAcentral describes it as "partial 16S ribosomal RNA". It matches the Rfam family "Bacterial small subunit ribosomal RNA", at positions 524 to 776 of the family's 1533-position model. The record is from RNAcentral.